UACAGAGACUGCAAGCGUUAUUCGGAUUCACUGGGCGUAAAGGGUGCGCAGGCGGCCAAGUGUGUGAGGCGUGAAAGCCCGGGGCUUAACCCCGGAAUUGCACCUCAAACUACAUGGCUAGAGCAUUGGAGAGGGUAGCAGAAUUCACGGUGUAGCAGUGAAAUGCGUAGAUAUCGUGAGGAAUACCAGAGGCGAAGGCGGCUACCUGGACAAUUGCUGACGCUCAGGCACGAAAGCGUGGGGAGCAAAAGGA
Molecule: ribosomal RNA, 253 nt
Filed under: uncultured bacterium
Lineage: Bacteria
Description: partial 16S ribosomal RNA
Rfam family: Bacterial small subunit ribosomal RNA
Source: RNAcentral